AGAUCAGUGUGCUGAAAAGCCGAAAAAUCUGUGGUUCUCCAAAGAUAAACCCGGUUUCAAGCCCCAAACGGUAAUUACAUAACCCCCCGCUUUGACAUGUGGCUGAUAAAAUUUUUCUUCGCCAAAAGGGGUCUGAGCUUUGCCAGUCGAUCUUGGUUUCUCCAGUGUAAUUCAAUAUUGACGAAAGUUAUCCAACGGAGGUCAAACUUCUGCCGCACAACGAAAAUUUGCGAUCAACCUUAUUUUUGACCUUGGCAGAGGACAUACAGUUGCCUCUGAAAUUCUAUGUCGUGGCCUGGAUAGGCACAGACAUAUCCAUAUCGGAUGUCUUCAAGGAAAAGGAUUGACACACACACUGAAUUCAACCGACACAUCAAUGCAUGCAGGCCUGUUGCAGCGAUGGAAAACCAAACUUGCUGUAACUGUAGAUAAAUAAGAUGUUAUGAAGAUUUGAGGUGAUGCUGAGGAUGGUUGUUAGUUGGAGUGGAGUUAAAA
This is a long non-coding RNA of Drosophila miranda, 495 nucleotides long. RefSeq lists it as uncharacterized. NCBI's taxonomy places the organism in Eukaryota, Metazoa, Arthropoda, Insecta, Diptera, Drosophilidae. The transcript has 3 exons. The record is from RefSeq and is a predicted model, not a curated record.